UGGGGAAUAUUGGACAAUGGGCGCAAGCCUGAUCCAGCAAUUCCGCGUGGGUGAAGAAGGUCUUCGGAUUGUAAAGCCCUUUCGGCAGGGACGAUGAUGACGGUACCUGCAGAAGAAGCCCCGGCUAACUUCGUGCCAGCAGCCGCGGUAAUACGAAGGGGGCUAGCGUUGCUCGGAAUUACUGGGCGUAAAGGGCGCGUAGGCGGCGCUGCAAGUCAGGGCGUGAAAUUCCUGGGCUUAACCUGGGGGCUGCGCUUGAGACUGUGGUGCUAGAGGAUGGAAGAGGCUCGUGGAAUUCCCAGUGUAGAGGUGAAAUUCGUAGAUAUUGGGAAGAACACCGGUGGCGAAGGCGGCGAGCUGGUCCAUUACUGACGCUGAGGCGCGACAGCGUGGGGAGCAAACAGGAUUAGAUACCCUGGUAGUCCACGCCGUAAACGAUGUGCGCUGGAUGUUGGGGCCCCUAGGGCUUCAGUGUCGUAGCCAACGCGGUAAGCGCACCGCCUGGGGA
Molecule: ribosomal RNA, 508 nt
Filed under: uncultured bacterium
Lineage: Bacteria
Description: bacterial SSU rRNA
Rfam family: Bacterial small subunit ribosomal RNA
Source: RNAcentral